Long non-coding RNA from Onychostoma macrolepis, 3704 nucleotides. RefSeq lists it as uncharacterized. Lineage: Eukaryota; Metazoa; Chordata; Actinopteri; Cypriniformes; Cyprinidae. The transcript has 4 exons. The record is from RefSeq and is a predicted model, not a curated record.
GGAGGGGGAGAGGUCAUCACCCGGGGCCUGGCUCGCGUCUUCCGCUGCUGGUGCACCCAGGGUCCGUGGUGUCCCGGCGCCGGAGUGAAGGACACCUGGGAAGAUCGCGUCCUGGGUGCACAGGGCCUGUGCAGAGAAACACACGGAGUAGAGGUGGUGGGAGUGUUAUCAGCGCGCUGUAUACUUACCCCGGACUUGUGAGCGUCAGCCCGGGAUGUUUCCAGCGCGGCUCUCCGCUCUCUCAGCUAGGCCUGCUUCUCCACCAGGUCGCGGAUCUGCUUCUCCACGGCCUCCAGCUCCAGCUGCACCGAAUGUAGCUCGAACGUGUCCUCACCUCACCACGAGUAUUAGCAACGUAAGCGAGAUUAGCAGCAACCACGCUGGCGAUGCAAACUGGCUAUAAGCUAAUAGCAGACUCGGGAAAUCAAAAUAAAACUAGUGAUAACAAGGCGCUCUGAUUGCUUUUGUUGUAGAAUGCUAUAGGGGAUAUAAUCACACAUUAUAGAAACAAAAAUGAUAGUGUAUAAAACUGAUCUUAAGAUAGAAAAUAGACGAUAAGGAAUUAACUCGACGGAGCUCAAGCUCAAAACACGCAGUAAGAACAGUCUCAGCAAAGCGCAUGCAAAAAAAUUGACAAUCGUGAUAUUGAUAAAUGUAUAAAUGAAUGAAUUUUAUAUUUUAAUAAAGAAACAAGUUUGGUUCAUUUGAAUUUAUUUCUCUCUCUCUCUCUCUCUCUCUCACACACACACACACACACACACACACACACUAUAACACAUAUACAGGUGCUGGUCAUAUAAUUAGAAAAUCAUCAAAGAUUUAUUUCACUAAUUCCAUUCAAAAAGUGAAACUUGUAUAUUAUAUCCAUUCAUUACACACAGACUGAUAUAUUUCAAAUGUUUAUUUCUUUUAAUUUUGAUGAUUAGAGCUUACAGCUCAUGAAAGUCAAAAAUCUGUAUCUCAAAAUAUCAGAAUAUUUACAAUUGAGUUUGAAUAAAUGACCAUCCCUACAGUAUAAAUUCUGGGUAUCUCUUGUUCUUUGAAACCACAAUAAUGGGGAAGACUGCUGACUUGGCAAUGAUCCAGAAGACGAACAUUGACGCCCUCCACAAAGAGGGUAAGUCACAGAGGGUCAUUACUGAAAGGUGUGGCUGUUUACAGAGUGCUGUAUCAAAGCAUAUUAAAUGCAAAGUUGACUGGAAGGAAGAAUUUGGGUAGGAAAAGGUGCACAAGCAACAGGGAUGACUGCAAGCUUGAGAAUACAGUCAAGCAAAGCCGAUUCAAACACUUGGGAGAGCUUCACAAGGAGAGAACUGAAGCUGGAGUCAGUGCAUCAAGAGUCACCACGCUCAGACGUCUUCAGGAAAAGGGCUACCAAGCCACUUCUGAACCAGAGACAACGUCAGAAGCAUCUUAACUGGGCUGUGGAGAAAAAGAACUGGACUGUUGCUCAGUGGUCCAAAGUCCUCUUUUCAGAUGAAAGUAAAUUUUACAUUUCAUUUGGAAAUCAAGGUCCCAGAGUCUGAAGGAAGAGUGGAGAGGCACAGAAUCCAUGUUGCUUGAAGUCCAGUGUGAAGUUUCCACAGUCAAUGAUGAUUUGGGCUGCCAUGUCAUCUGCUGGUGUUGGUCCACUUUGUUUUCUGAAGUCCACAGUCAACGCAGCCAUCUACCAGGAAAUUUUAGAGCACUUCAUGCUUCCUUCUGUUGACAAGCUUUAUGGAGAUGCUGAUUUCAUUUUCCAGCAGGACUUGGCACCUGCCCACACUGCCAAAGGUACCAAAAGCUGGUUCAAUGACCAUAGUGUUACUGUGCUUGAUUGGCCAGCAAACUCGCCUGGCCUGAACCCCAUAGAGAAUCUAUGGGGUAUUGUCAAGAGGAAGAUGAGAGACACCAGACCCAACAAUGCAGAAGAGCUGAAGGCCACUAUCAGAGCAACCUGGGCUCUCUCAACACCUGAGCAGUGCCACAGACUGAUCGACUCCAUGCCACGCCGCAUUGCUGCAGUAAUUGACCCUUCGCUAAGCCACGCCCGAAAACCGCCACAGGCCAAUCGUGGCUUAGCAACCGUUACUAGGCGCGGGAGGUCUGUCAAGCUUUCGAGCGAGGGAAACAUGCCGAAGCAUUGUGCAUAUGGAUUGUGCAAAUCUGAUACCCGAUAUCCUAAAAGUUUGGAUGGGGUGGUAGAAUUUUUUCCCUUCCCGAAACCUAAAACCCAAGGGGAGAAAUGCCGGGCGUGGAUCAAGCAGUGUGGGAGGCCCCAUUCACAACUAAAUGUCGACAGGAUUAACAAAAACACCUACGUUUGCUCCAAGCAUUUUGUUAAUUGACGGCCUACCCCUGAGUACCCCAAUCCGAUCGAGGCUCUCCCGGGGUUAGUUCUAAGGAGGGAACAUCAGGGGGCUUGCCGAAGAUCUCCAAGGAAAAGGAAGCCAGCACCUCAAACUCCACUGAGGACACAUUUCACAGUACACCACAACAGAGUGACUCUACCUAUGAAGAACAUGAUAUGGGCGACCAUGGAGAGGAACUGAGAACUCUGCAGGACACAUUAGCCAAUCACAAGCAAGACAUCAUAAAUCUGAAGCUUCAACUCGAGGCAAAGGAUGGCCAACUCCAUCAUCUUCAAAAGGAACUUCAGGAUGCACGUACCUCAGAUGCUUUAAACCCUGAGAUUUUAAACCAAAGCCAUGUGCCUGAUUAUUUUCACUACUGCACAGGGUUUUCUUAUGAGCAAUUUAACAGCUUGUGUCAAUUUUUUAACAUUCCAACUGAUCCAUAUGCACCACAAACACACAUUCCUCUCUCAUACAAACGUGUCAAUAAUUAGAUCAAACAACUUUCACUGCGUACUCAAUUGUUACUGACCUUAAUGAAAUUGAGACAAAAUUUGGACCACAAAGACCUAGCCUUCAGAUUUAACAUCUGUUUACAGAGUAUCAGCACACUGAACAACUCCUGGGUGGACUAUAUGUAUGAUAGUCUUUGCAAAUUGUCUAUUUGGCCACACAGGGAUGUUAUUUCUGAGAACAUGCCCGCUAAAUUUAAGGAAGAAUUUCCGAAUACUUUUGCCAUCUUAGACUGCACUGAACUUAAGAUUCAGAGACAAAGCUCACUAGUGUUUCGGAGUCAGACUUACUCCACCUACAAGUCUACUAACACCCUUAAGUCUCUAGUGGCCUGUGAUCCACGUGGUGCAGUCGUUUAUGUGUCUGACCUCUUCACUGGAGUAAUUUCUGACAAAGAGAUUUUCAAUGAGUGCAACAUCCUUGACAUUUUGAAGGGGUACAUUCAGUGUGGCUAUCUCAAUGUAGGAGAUGGCUUGAUGGUUGAUAAAGGCUUUCUAAUAGAGAAGGAGGUUGAGGAGAUUGGUUUGCGACUUAACAUUCCACCUUUUGCAAGAGCAAACAGACAGAUGCCACAUGCAGAUGUUGAAAUGACCAAAAGAAUAGCCAAGCACAGGGUUCAUGUUGAAAGAGCUAUUGUAAAGAUAAAGAAGUUUAAAAUUGUGUCAGGCCAAAUCCCGAUUUCCCGGCUUGUGAACAUAAAUCAAAUAUGGUAUGUAGUCAGCAUGCUGUCUAACUUCCAGCCACAUGUCAUCAAAGAUUAAGGUUGUGUGUGUAUUAGAGCUGAGUGGUCAAGGAAGAUAACGCUGACGUGGUGCACUGUCCUGCACUGCCCUGUACAAGUUGAGUGAAUUACAUAUA